This 72-nucleotide transfer RNA is filed under the name Alligator mississippiensis (American alligator). Its description in RNAcentral is "tRNA-Leu (AAG) (tRNA-Leu-AAG-3-1)". It matches the Rfam family "tRNA". Rfam says of the family: Transfer RNA (tRNA) molecules are approximately 80 nucleotides in length. Their secondary structure includes four short double-helical elements and three loops (D, anti-codon, and T loops). Further hydrogen bonds mediate the characteristic L-shaped molecular structure. tRNAs have two regions of fundamental functional importance: the anti-codon, which is responsible for specific mRNA codon recognition, and the 3' end, to which the tRNAs corresponding amino acid is attached (by aminoacyl-tRNA synthetases). tRNAs cope with the degeneracy of the genetic code in two manners: having more than one tRNA (with a specific anti-codon) for a particular amino acid; and 'wobble' base-pairing, i.e. permitting non-standard base-pairing at the 3rd anti-codon position. Lineage: Eukaryota; Metazoa; Chordata; Crocodylia; Alligatoridae. The record is from Rfam by way of RNAcentral.
GGCUCGUUGGUCUAGGGGUAUGAUUCUUGCUUAAGAUGCAACAGGUCCUGGGUUCAAAUCCCGGACGAGCCC